CAGCCGCCGCGGGAAUACGUAGGUGGCAAGCGUUGUCCGGAAUUAUUGGGCGUAAAGGGCUCGCAGGCGGUUUCUUAAGUCUGAUGUGAAAGCCCCCGGCUCAACCGGGGAGGGUCAUUGGAAACUGGGAAACUUGAGUGCAGAAGAGGAGAGUGGAAUUCCACGUGUAGCGGUGAAAUGCGUAGAGAUGUGGAGGAACACCAGUGGCGAAGGCGACUCUCUGGUCUGUAACUGACGCUGAGGAGCGAAAGCGUGGGGAUCAAACAGGAUUAGAUACCCGCGUAGUCCCUGUCUCUUAUAC
Molecule: ribosomal RNA, 301 nt
Filed under: uncultured bacterium
Lineage: Bacteria
Description: partial 16S ribosomal RNA
Rfam family: Bacterial small subunit ribosomal RNA
Source: RNAcentral